AGAGACUGCAAGUACCAUGAGGGAAAGAUGAAAAGGACUUUGAAAAGAGAGUUAAAAGUGCCUGAACUCNCGGGGGGGGGGGGGGGGGGUNAAAGGAAAGCGGAUGGAACCAGUCGUGCUUGGCGAGAUUGUUGCGUGCAAAGGUGACUGCUCACUGCUCGUAGCGUAAGCGCAGCAGCGGGUUUCGAUCUGGUCGCGCGCGAUGCUUCUUGCCUUGUUCGUCAUCGUUGGUUUGGAGGCGCGGACAACUCUUGGGACAUGGUAACUCGCCCACGGGCGAGCGAAUGUGCCUUGCAGAACUCACCUCCAAACUGAUGUCUCUUGUUAGGUUCUGUUGCCGUACGCGGCACGUUCUUGACAAAGCGUGGUGACAGAAUGGUUCUAUUCGACCCGUCUUGAAAACACGGACCAAGGAGUCUAACAUAUGUGCAAGUACUUGGGUGACGAAACCUAUGUGCGCAAUGAAAGUGAGUGCUGAGAUGCUUGCAUCAGCAGCCGACCAAUCAAUUGGGA
This 513-nucleotide ribosomal RNA is filed under the name Gymnodiniaceae sp. ZH-2018a. Its description in RNAcentral is "partial large subunit ribosomal RNA". It matches the Rfam family "Eukaryotic large subunit ribosomal RNA", at positions 337 to 784 of the family's 3401-position model. Lineage: Eukaryota; Dinophyceae; Gymnodiniales; Gymnodiniaceae. The record is from RNAcentral.